RNAcentral lists this transfer RNA (76 nucleotides) under Widdringtonia nodiflora. RNAcentral's name for it is "tRNA-Gly". Lineage: Eukaryota; Viridiplantae; Streptophyta; Pinopsida; Cupressales; Cupressaceae. The record is from RNAcentral.
UCAUCGUAACUAAAUGUUCAAUUGCUAAAAUAGCAAAAAGUGAACUACAUUAAUAAACUAACAUAGAUAUUAUGGA